AUGAUCUGUCGAUUUUGGUGGGCAAAGCAUGAGAAGACCAAGACUAUGCAUUGGCUAAGUUGGGAGCUCAUGACACAACCGAAAAAAACUGGCGGUCUCGGGUUCAGAGACUUGCAUGGGUUUAACUUGGCCAUGCUUGCUAAGCAGGCAUGGAGGAUACUCACUGAACCAGAGUCCCUCUGUGCACGGGUUUUGAAAGCCAGGUACUUCCCGAGCACCUCGAUCCUGGAGGCACAAGCUAACCCAGGGAUCUCUUACACUUGGAGAAGUAUUCUCAAAGGGGUUGAGUUGCUGAAAGAGGGACUUAUCUGCAGAAUCGGGGAUGGAACCAGUGUUAAAAUUUGGUCUGAUCCUUGGCUG
This 360-nucleotide ribosomal RNA is filed under the name Triticum aestivum (bread wheat). RNAcentral describes it as "partial small subunit ribosomal RNA". The record is from RNAcentral. Lineage: Eukaryota; Viridiplantae; Streptophyta; Magnoliopsida; Poales; Poaceae.